UACGUAGGGCGCAAGCGUUGUCCGGAAUUAUUGGGCGUAAAGAGCUCGUAGGCGGUUUGUCGCGUCUGCUGUGAAAACUCGGGGCUUAACCCCGGGCCUGCAGUGGGUACGGGCAGACUAGAGUGCGGUAGGGGAGACUGGAAUUCCUGGUGUAGCGGUGAAAUGCGCAGAUAUCAGGAGGAACACCAAUGGCGAAGGCAGCACUCUGGGACGUGACUGACGCUGAGACGCGAAAGCGUGGGGAGCAAACAGG
Molecule: ribosomal RNA, 253 nt
Filed under: uncultured bacterium
Lineage: Bacteria
Description: partial 16S ribosomal RNA
Rfam family: Bacterial small subunit ribosomal RNA
Source: RNAcentral